Paramisgurnus dabryanus is the source of this 548-nucleotide long non-coding RNA. RefSeq lists it as uncharacterized. The record is from RefSeq and is a predicted model, not a curated record. Lineage: Eukaryota; Metazoa; Chordata; Actinopteri; Cypriniformes; Cobitidae.
AGGCAGUAGCAUCGUUUCACAAUGUUUCCAUCACCAUCAUCAGUGGAUGCCUUUGCCGUCCGUAGCCUGAGAUUUCAGAUUUGCAGCAAAAAACUUGAUUUUCUCAUUUAUUGGAAUGCUGUGCAGGUUGUACCUUGCAGCCAUCCAUUACAAUGUCACCAAGCCGUAACAAAAGCAGGAGAGGGAAAGUACAAGGCUAUGUUCCCAAAACACACAAGUGACAUACCUUAUGUGGAGGAUGUGAUCAGGCUUGUGUUUGAUGAGGUAUUUGAAGAUAAGCUGAAGGAAACCCCGAUUCCAAUGGACCUGGCAUCACAGUUUGAGAGACCUUCAAAGGAGGACGUGAUUGCAUGCCAUCUUCAGUGCAGGGGUCGUCGAAAGCCAAAAUUGUGACCGAUCUGAUCAGGAAGCUCCAAGCGUAUCUGGAGAACAACACACGACAGGAUGAUAACCUUAUAGUGUCGUCUUAAAUAGCACCAGGUGACAAAGCUUUGAUAUGCCAUUUAUCUGAAUAGAUAGCUGUAAGAAAUGAAUUGAACAAUUUUUGA